Molecule: ribosomal RNA, 301 nt
Filed under: uncultured bacterium
Lineage: Bacteria
Description: partial 16S ribosomal RNA
Rfam family: Bacterial small subunit ribosomal RNA
Source: RNAcentral
CAGUAGCCGCGGGAAUACGAAGGGGGCUAGCGUUGCUCGGAAUGACUGGGCGUAAAGGGCGCGUAGGCGGUUUUGACAGUCAGAUGUGAAAUUCCUGGGCUUAACCUGGGGGCUGCAUUUGAGACGUCAAGACUAGAGUGUGAGAGAGGGUUGUGGAAUUCCCAGUGUAGAGGUGAAAUUCGUAGAUAUUGGGAAGAACACCGGUGGCGAAGGCGGCAACCUGGCUCAUUACUGACGCUGAGGCGCGAAAGCGUGGGGAGCAAACAGGAUUAGAUACCCGAGUAGUCCCUGUCUCUUAUAC